This 1412-nucleotide long non-coding RNA is filed under the name Medicago truncatula (barrel medic). RNAcentral's name for it is "long non-coding RNA (MTRU_LNC000963)". The record is from RNAcentral. Lineage: Eukaryota; Viridiplantae; Streptophyta; Magnoliopsida; Fabales; Fabaceae.
AGAACCUUAUGUGAUGCCUCCUAGGACAGUACGAGAGAUGAGACCACGAGCAAGGCGUGCAAUGAUUCGAGCACAGAAAAAGGCAGAGCAGCAACAAGAGAAUGCUGAGCAGCGACAGAAUGCUGAGGAAAUGAAGAAUAGCAAAAAGAGUGAAGCAUAGGAAGAGAGUGCAUGAAAAUGUUAUCAUUUGAAUGCGAAGUAGGCUUUAUCUGUUUGCUUUUAGCAAAUCCUAUAAAUGUCAUAUUGAAUUCUUCUGUUUUAAGGUCUCCUAGUAAGAGCAUUGUUAAGAAGAAAUUGUGUUUAUUAAACAAUCUUGCAUCUUUUUGUGAUAACGCUUGAGUUCAAGUUCGAACCAGACUACCAUUUUGGCAUUCUAAAGGUACAUUUGGCAUCAAUAAAAAUAGUCCAAAAAUAUUCUCAUGAGCAUGACAAAAAAAAUGUCCAAAAGUGACAUACAUCAUACAAAUAUUCGAUUUAUGUAAUGUGACAAUAAAAUGAUUUUUUUUUUUCAUGAUCUGCGUGUGAUAUCAUUGUGGUAUUUUGAUUUUACUUCAGGUCUUAGGAUUAAGGACUAGUUUGAGAUCUGGUUUGGAUUAGUCCCUAGCCUACGUCAAUUUUUUUAAGUUUGAUAUUUUUUUAUUCAUGAAAUAAUAUACAGCUUGAAAAUUGAAAUACUUAUCUACCUUAUGAUGUCAUCGUCAGGUCCUUUUUGUGUAAAAGAAGGAACUACAAACGGAAAUUGAUUUACAGAGCCUAUGGACAGGGAAUGUGAAAACACAUCAAACAUGUGUAUGUUAUAAAGUGAUGUUAGCAACCUUAUCUCACUGCAUAGAAAACAUACUUUAGGGGAGCAAAGUUGUAGAAGGAACAAAGAUUCUAAUCACUUGAGGAGGUUUAGAAAUUAAUGAUGGAUAUUGUUGCUUCCUUGCAAGAAAAAAUCUAAAAAAGAAUCAAAAUUCAGUGUGAAGGAGCUAGCAUUGUUGAAUCAAAGAAGAUAUUAUUAGAAAAAAGACAAGGUUAAAAAGAGAGUGGGACUCCUUGAAAUCUUUUAAAGAAAGAGGAGUGGGUUCUAAAGCUACCAUCAAGAACAUUUAUAACUUAUAAGAAGAAUUUGAGGUAGGAAGCAUGCUAGGAAAUUGCUUUAGUUUUUAACAAUGUUGCUUCACAUGAGGAUGUUUGAGACUGUUGCUAAACACGUUGUAUGAUGUAAGCCACCAUUCGAACAGUGUAAAAUAUUUGAAGCAUCAUGUUGUAAAGAUCAAUCAUAACUUGAACGUCUUCCUGGUAUUUUCCCAGCAGAAAAUACUAACAAACACUUAAAAGAAGAAUGAAAUAAAAGGAUAUCCUAUUCAUUAAAGGCUUAGAUAUGUUGGUUUAUACUAGAAGGUCUAAAAAUGUUUUAGAAAUUACAU